RNAcentral lists this ribosomal RNA (239 nucleotides) under uncultured Gammaproteobacteria bacterium. Its description in RNAcentral is "partial 16S ribosomal RNA". It matches the Rfam family "Bacterial small subunit ribosomal RNA", at positions 30 to 260 of the family's 1533-position model. Lineage: Bacteria; Pseudomonadati; Pseudomonadota; Gammaproteobacteria. The record is from RNAcentral.
AUUGAACGCUGGCGGCAGGCCUAACACAUGCAAGUCGAGCGGUAACAGGAAUAGCUUGCUAUUCGCUGACGAGCGGCGGACGGGUGAGUAACGCGUAGGAAUCUGCCCGGUAGUGGGGGAUAGCCCGGAGAAAUACCGGAUUAAUAACCGCAUACGCCCUAAGGGGGAAAGGACAGGGGAGUCUUCGGACCUUGCGCUAUCGGAUGAGCCUGCGUCGGAUUAGCUUGUUGGUGGGGUAA